GUAGGGAAUAUUGGUCAAUGGACGAAAGUCUGAACCAGCCAUUCCGCGUGCAGGAAGAAGAUUCUAUGGAUUGUAAACUGCUUUUAGCAGAGAAGAAACGCCUUCAUUGAUGAGGGUUUGACGGUAUCUGCGGAAUAAGCACCGGCUAACUCCGUGCCAGCAGCCGCGGUAAUACGGGGGGUGCAAGCGUUAUCCGGAAUCACUGGGUUUAAAGGGUGCGUAGGCGGGAAAUUAAGUCAGUGGUGAAAGUCUGUUGCUUAACGAUAGAAUUGCCGUUGAUACUGAUUUUCUUGAAUUGGGUUGAGGUUAGCGGAAUGUGACAUGUAGCGGUGAAAUGCAUAGAUAUGUCAUGGAACACCAAUUGCGAAGGCAGCUAGCUGGGACUUGAUUGACGCUGAGGCACGAAAGCGUGGGUAGCGAACAGGAUUAGAUACCCGGGUAGUCC
Molecule: ribosomal RNA, 445 nt
Filed under: uncultured bacterium
Lineage: Bacteria
Description: partial 16S ribosomal RNA
Rfam family: Bacterial small subunit ribosomal RNA
Source: RNAcentral